This 30-nucleotide non-coding RNA is filed under the name Mus musculus (house mouse). The record is from RNAcentral. Lineage: Eukaryota; Metazoa; Chordata; Mammalia; Rodentia; Muridae.
UGUCAGAAUCUGUGAGACCUACAAGUGGUC